Terrapene triunguis (Three-toed box turtle) is the source of this 287-nucleotide long non-coding RNA. RefSeq lists it as uncharacterized. Lineage: Eukaryota; Metazoa; Chordata; Testudines; Emydidae. The record is from RefSeq and is a predicted model, not a curated record. The transcript is spliced from 3 exons.
CGGGCAGCUGAGCCCGGAGAUCAGAGACAAGGCCCAGGGAUUCCUCCAGAGUGGCUACGAGCGUGAGCUGCUCUAUAAACACAACGACGGCUCUUACAGCGCCUCUAGGAAGAGAGAUGCCAGGGGCAACACCUGGCUGACGGCCUUCGUUCUCAAGUCCUUUGGCCAAGCCAGGCCCUAUAUCUCCAUUGAUGAGAAGCACCUAGAGGAUGCCCUAGGGUGGCUGCACAACCGCCAGCGGAAGACCGGCUGCUUCCGCAGUGUGGGGAAGCUGUUGAACAACGCCC